UACAGCCAUACCACCCUGAACGUGGCCAAUCUGUUCUGACUCAGAAGCUGAGCAGGAUCGGGCAUGGUUAGUACUUGGAUGGGACAGAAAAGCUUUAGCGAGUCUGUGC
Ribosomal RNA from Bison bison bison, 109 nucleotides. The record is from Ensembl. NCBI's taxonomy places the organism in Eukaryota, Metazoa, Chordata, Mammalia, Artiodactyla, Bovidae.